AACAUCGCCUCUUGCACUAAUAUAAGAGUCCAGCCUGCCCAGUGACCAAGUUCAACGGCCGCGGUAUCCUAACCGUGCGAAGGUAGCGUAAUCACUUGUUCUUUAAAUGAGGACUAGUAUGAAUGGCACCACGAGGGUUAUACUGUCUCCUUUUUCCAAUCAAUGAAACUGAUUUUCCCGUGAAGAAGCGGGAAUACUUCUAUAAGACGAGAAGACCCUAUGGAGCUUCAAAUCAAAUAGCAUUGGCUAUAUAUUAUAUUUUAAUUAAUAACUUUUAUUACUGCCCUCUGACUAUUAAUUUUGGGUUGGGGUGACCGCGGAACAAAAACUAACCUCCAUGGUGAACAAACAUUUUCCUGAGCCAAAAGCCACAACUUUAAGCACCAAAACAUUGACACAAAUUGACCCAAUAACUUGAGCAACGAACCAAGUUACCCUAGGGAUAACAGCGCAAUCUACUUCAAGAGCCUCCUAUCGACAAGUGGGUUUACGAYCUCGAUGUUGGAUCAGGUAUCCUAGUGGUGCAGCCGCUACUAAUGGUUCGUUUGUUCACGAUUAAA
RNAcentral lists this ribosomal RNA (560 nucleotides) under Dendropsophus elegans (elegant forest treefrog). RNAcentral's name for it is "partial large subunit ribosomal RNA". It matches the Rfam family "Bacterial large subunit ribosomal RNA", at positions 1812 to 2592 of the family's 2925-position model. Lineage: Eukaryota; Metazoa; Chordata; Amphibia; Anura; Hylidae. The record is from RNAcentral.